Ficedula albicollis (Collared flycatcher) is the source of this 391-nucleotide long non-coding RNA. RefSeq lists it as uncharacterized. The transcript is spliced from 4 exons. NCBI's taxonomy places the organism in Eukaryota, Metazoa, Chordata, Aves, Passeriformes, Muscicapidae. The record is from RefSeq and is a predicted model, not a curated record.
GGAAAAUCCAGAGCUCAAGCCUGUAAGAAGAGAUCCACAGUGUCUUUCCCUUUUGGCAGGAAUACACCAUGAUCCAGCUGCAGACAAAUGCUACAAUCUGGAAGGAAAACUCUUCAGAGUAGAUCAGGAAAAAGCAGCAGUUGUGCCCCUAUAGCCAAGCUGCAACUUUUAGUCUAAGUCACAAAGGAGGAAAAUCCUGCCUCAUAUAACCAGCCCACAAGUUAUUGAACUGAAGUUAUCAUAGAUUAUAUAAUGGUGUAUGGAAAAUGAAGAUCAGCAUAAUACCAUCCAUAUAACUGGCAAUUAAUCAUGUCUUGUAAAGUGCUCCCUGUCUUUCAUCUUGUGUAGAAGAAAACAAAAAUGUACCGCCAGGGAACAUCUGAAACAUGCA